GAUGAACGCUGGCGGCGUGCCUAAUACAUGCAAGUCGAGCGAAUGGAUUAAGAGCUUGCUCUUAUGAAGUUAGCGGCGGACGGGUGAGUAACACGUGGGUAACCUGCCCAUAAGACUGGGAUAACUCCGGGAAACCGGGGCUAAUACCGGAUAACAUAUUGAACCGCAUGGUUCGAAAUUGAAAGGCGGCUUCGGCUGUCACUUAUGGAUGGACCCGCGUCGCAUUAGCUAGUUGGUGAGGUAACGGCUCACCAAGGCAACGAUGCGUAGCCGACCUGAGAGGGUGCUCGGCCACACUGGGACUGAGACACGGCCCAGACUCCUACGGGAGGCAGCAGUAGGGAAUCUUCCGCAAUGGACGAAAGUCUGACGGAGCAACGCCGCGUGAGUGAUGAAGGCUUUCGGGUCGUAAAACUCUGUUGUUAGGGAAGAACAAGUGCUGGUUGAAUAAGCUGGCACCUUGACGGUACCUAACCAGAAAGCCACGGCUAACUACGUGCCAGCCGCCGCGGUAA
RNAcentral lists this ribosomal RNA (515 nucleotides) under uncultured bacterium. Its description in RNAcentral is "partial 16S ribosomal RNA". It matches the Rfam family "Bacterial small subunit ribosomal RNA", at positions 28 to 523 of the family's 1533-position model. The record is from RNAcentral.